This 217-nucleotide unclassified non-coding RNA is filed under the name Hevea brasiliensis (rubber tree). Lineage: Eukaryota; Viridiplantae; Streptophyta; Magnoliopsida; Malpighiales; Euphorbiaceae. The record is from RNAcentral.
CAUAAGACCCGGUCCAAUUGGUGGCCGAAUCGGCCGGAUUUGGCCGGGGAAGUCGAAACGGCGCGCGCGCGCAGGGGAGCGUUUCGCGCGCGUUUUUCCGGCCGUUUGGGCGGCGGCCGGCCGGCUGGGAGGGCUGGGCGGCGGCGCCGGUCGGCUGGGGGGCUGGGCAGGUGGCUGGCCGGCGGCUGGGGGUGGGGAGGAGAGAGAAAAGAGAGAG